UACAGAGGGUGCGAGCGUUAAUCGGAAUUACUGGGCGUAAGGCGUGCGUAGACGGUCAUGUAAGUCGGGUGUGAAAGCCCCGGGCUCAACCUGGGAAUUGCAUUCGAGACUGCAUGGCUAGGGUGCGGAAGAGGGAAGCGGAAUUUCCGGUGUAGCGGUGAAAUGCGUAGAUAUCGGAAGGAACACCAGUGGCGAAAGCGGCUUCCUGGUCCAGCACCGACGUUCAGGCACGAAAGCGUGGGGAGCAAACAGG
RNAcentral lists this ribosomal RNA (253 nucleotides) under uncultured bacterium. RNAcentral describes it as "partial 16S ribosomal RNA". It matches the Rfam family "Bacterial small subunit ribosomal RNA", at positions 524 to 776 of the family's 1533-position model. The record is from RNAcentral.